UACGGAGGGUGCAAGCGUUAUCCGGAUUCACUGGGCUUAAAGGGUGCGUAGGCGGGUUGGGAAGUCCGUGGUGAAAUCUCCAAGCUUAACUUGGAAACUGCCGUGGAUACUAUCAAUCUUGAAUAUCGUGGAGGUAAGCGGAAUAUGUCAUGUAGCGGUGAAAUGCUUAGAUAUGACAUAGAACACCAAUUGCGUAGGCAGCUUACUACACGAUCAUUGACGCUGAGGCACGAAAGCGUGGGGAGCAAACAGG
Molecule: ribosomal RNA, 253 nt
Filed under: uncultured bacterium
Lineage: Bacteria
Description: partial 16S ribosomal RNA
Rfam family: Bacterial small subunit ribosomal RNA
Source: RNAcentral